CGAAACUGCGAACGGCUCAUUAAAACAGUUAUAAUUUAUUUGAUAAUGUUCUUAUAUGGAUAACCAUUUUGGGAAACUAUGGCUAAUACAUGCUCAAAGACCUUCGGGUUGUAUUUAUUAGUUUUGGCCAAUCUCGGAUUGUGAUGAGUCAUAAUAACUGAUCGAAGCGCACUUGUGUGCGCUAAAUCUUUCAAGUAUCUGCCCUAUCAGAUUGUUGGUAGUGUAUUGGACUACCAAGUCGGUCACGGGUAACGGAGAAUUAGGGUUCGAUUCCGGAGAGGGAGCCUGAGAAACGGCUACCACAGCUACGGUAGGCAGCAGGUGCGUAAAUUACCCAAUCCAAAAUCUGGAAGGUAGUUACAGGAAAUUUG
This 371-nucleotide ribosomal RNA is filed under the name uncultured eukaryote. RNAcentral describes it as "SSU rRNA". It matches the Rfam family "Eukaryotic small subunit ribosomal RNA", at positions 82 to 481 of the family's 1831-position model. The record is from RNAcentral.